Molecule: non-coding RNA, 72 nt
Organism: Hemicordylus capensis (graceful crag lizard)
Lineage: Eukaryota; Metazoa; Chordata; Lepidosauria; Squamata; Cordylidae
Source: the annotation of a RefSeq genome assembly
GGAGGUGUAGCUCAGUAGGAGAGCACCUGCUUUCCAUGCAGAAGGUCCCAGGUUCAAUCCCUGGCAUCUCCA